This 370-nucleotide ribosomal RNA is filed under the name bacterium enrichment culture DGGE band 64_1_FGQ_L. RNAcentral describes it as "bacterial SSU rRNA". It matches the Rfam family "Bacterial small subunit ribosomal RNA", at positions 501 to 871 of the family's 1533-position model. The record is from RNAcentral.
UUUUGUGUCAGCACGCCGCGGUAAUACGUAGGGGGCGAGCGUUACCCGGAAUUACUGGGCGUAAAGGGUGCGUAGGCGGCCGUGUGUGUCUGGCGUUAAAAUCCACGGCUCAACUGUGGGUAUGCGCUGGAAACUGCACGGCUUGGGUGCAGCAGAGGCAGACGGAACUGCUGGUGUAGGGGUGAAAUCCGUAGAUAUCAGCAGGAACGCCGGUGGAGAAGUCGGUCUGCUGGGCUGUAACCGACGCUGAGGCACGAAAGCUAGGGGAGCAAACCGGAUUAGAUACCCGGGUAGUCCUAGCCGUAAACGAUGCUCACUUGGUGUGGGGGCGAAGGUCUCCGUGCUGAAGCUAACGCGUUAANUGAAGCCG